UAAAACAGAGAGUUCGAUCCUGGCUCAGGAUGAACGCUGGCGGCGUGCUUAACACAUGCAAGUCGAACGAGAGAUACAGGAGGAAGUUUUCGGACAGAAUCCAGUAGAUCGAGUGGCGGACGGGUGAGUAACGCGUGGGGAACCUGCCUCAUACAGGGGGAUAACAGUUGGAAACGACUGUUAAUACCGCAUAAGACCACAGAGUCGCAUGACUCAGGGGUAAAAACUCCGGUGGUAUGAGAUGGACCCGCGUUCGAUUAGCCAGUUGGCGGGGUAACGGCCCACCAAAGCGACGAUCGAUAGCCGAUUUGAGAGAAUGACCGGCCACAUUGGGACUGAGACACGGCCCAAACUCCUACGGGAGGCAGCAGUGGGGAAUAUUGCACAAUGGGGGGAACCCUGAUGCAGCGACGCCGCGUGAGUGAAGAAGUAUUUCGGUAUGUAAAGCUCUAUCAGCAGGGAAGAAGAUGACGGUACCUGAGUAAGAAGCCCCGGCUAACUACGUGCCAGCAGCCGCGGUAAUACGUAGGGGGCAAGCGUUAUCCGGAUUUACUGGGUGUAAAGGGAGCGCAGACGGCUAUGCAAGUCUGAAGUGAAAGCCCGGGGCUCAACCCCGGGAUUGCUUUGGAAACUGUGUAGCUAGAGUGUCGGAGAGGUAAGCAGAAUUCCCAGUGUAGCGGUGAAAUGCGUAGAUAUUGGGAAGAAUACCGGUGGCGAAGGCGGCUUACUGGACGAUAACUGACGUUCAGGCUCGAAGGCGUGGG
This 764-nucleotide ribosomal RNA is filed under the name Fusobacterium naviforme. RNAcentral describes it as "bacterial SSU rRNA". It matches the Rfam family "Bacterial small subunit ribosomal RNA", at positions 1 to 765 of the family's 1533-position model. The record is from RNAcentral. Lineage: Bacteria; Fusobacteriati; Fusobacteriota; Fusobacteriia; Fusobacteriales; Fusobacteriaceae.